AAUACUAAUUCUAGCUGCUCCUGAGUCCAGAGAGCGGCACACUCCAUCUCAGUGAAGUAGCUCUUUCUGAGAUUCCUCAUCCGUGGGGCUUUUCAGUUAAUCAAGAGAGUAUGUCCAGGCUAGUCUACUUAGGCAAGGUCGAGGCAAGAGGAAGCUAAAUGGCUCUGCCUGAAAAGAGAAGACAGGAAUUUUUAAAGUGGGCAAAACAAGAAUGAUAAUAGGCAUGUCUCAAGGUUGCUGUGUGGACCAGCUAAAGCCCUAUGUAAGAAAGCACUUCACAUACAGAAGAGGAUUGAUGCAUUUGGGAGACCCAGAAAUGUGGAUUCCAUCUUUCUAUGAGCCCAAGGAUGAAGGAGAACAAAAG
RNAcentral lists this long non-coding RNA (364 nucleotides) under Homo sapiens (human). RNAcentral's name for it is "HSALNT0325443". Lineage: Eukaryota; Metazoa; Chordata; Mammalia; Primates; Hominidae. The record is from RNAcentral.